This 637-nucleotide ribosomal RNA is filed under the name uncultured marine eukaryote. Its description in RNAcentral is "SSU rRNA". It matches the Rfam family "Eukaryotic small subunit ribosomal RNA", at positions 617 to 1259 of the family's 1831-position model. The record is from RNAcentral.
GGUUAAAAAGCUCGUAGUUGGAUUUCUGCCGAAGGCGGCCGAUCCGCACUAUGUGCGUGCAUCUGGUUCGGUUUUGGCAUCCUCUUGGGGAUCGUUUCUGUGCUUGAUUGCAUGGGGCGAGAUUCAAGACUUUUACUUUGAGGAAAUUAGAGUGUUCACGGCAAGCUAUCGCUUUGAAUACAUUAGCAUGGAAUAAUAAUAUAGGGCGUAAGUCUUAUUUUGUUGGUUUCUAGGACAUACGCAAUGAUUAAUAGGGACAAUUGGGGGCAUUCAUAUUAACGCGUCAGAGGUGGAAUUCUUAGAUUGCGUUACGACGAACUACUGCGAAAGCAUUUGCCAAGGAUGUUUUCAUUGAUCAAGAACGAAAGUAUGGGGAUCGAAGACGAUUAGAUACCGUCGUAGUCUAUACCAUAAACUAUGCCAAUUAGAGAUUGGGCGUCGUUCGUUUAUGACUCGCUCAGCACCUUAUGAGAAAUCAAAAUUUUUGGGUUCCGGGGGGAGUAUGGUCGCAAAGCUGAAACUUAAAGGAAUUGACGGAAGGGCACCACCAGGAGUGGAGCCUGCGGCUUAAUUUGACUCAACACGGGAAAACUUACCAGGUCCAGACAUAGUAAGGAUUGACAGAUUGAUAGCUCUU